AAGUCGUAACAAGGUUUCCGUAGGUGAACCUGCGGAAGGAUCAUUUCCAAAAAACGUGAUAACUCACUAUACAAACUCAAAAGGAGAAGCAAGUUUUGUUUCUCCUGUGUGGAACUGUUUGGGGUCGUCUUUUUUUUACUCUCAAAGGGUAAUCUCUCUUGGUCUUUUUUUUUAAAAAAAAGAUUAGGGGGGUGUUAUCUGGAGAGAGAUUUGUGAUAAGCCCAUUUGAUACAUCAAAACCUUUAUUUCAUUCGAGAUAAAAACAAAAAAUUAAAACGACAACUUUUAACGGUGGAUCUCUUGGCUCGU
Molecule: unclassified non-coding RNA, 309 nt
Filed under: fungal sp.
Lineage: Eukaryota; Fungi
Description: partial internal transcribed spacer region
Rfam family: Eukaryotic small subunit ribosomal RNA (bases 1-46)
Source: RNAcentral